This is a long non-coding RNA of Motacilla alba alba, 2455 nucleotides long. RefSeq lists it as uncharacterized. NCBI's taxonomy places the organism in Eukaryota, Metazoa, Chordata, Aves, Passeriformes, Motacillidae. The record is from RefSeq and is a predicted model, not a curated record. The transcript has 3 exons.
GGGUCUCAUGUCAUGAACAGGAGUAUCUGCUGCCUGUAAAAGGACUGGGAAAUUACAGGUGCUCUGGGUGUUUGAAUCACCUUGGAUUUUCAUCAUGGAGGUGAGGCAGAUCUAUUUCCAGGGGCUGUCAUGCAUAUAGGCCUUUCUUAAUGAGAAUUUAUGAGGCCAGUGAGGGACAGAGGGGAGAGAGUCUCCCUUAAAACAGCAUGGAAGUCAGAUACCACACACGGGGAUAAGCCCCAGAACCUUGGCAGAGCUGUGGACUUGGUGAAGAGCUUUAAGAAGUCCACUUAUCAGUUGGUGGCACCAAGGUACUCUGUGUGUGUGCAAGGAGCUCUUGUAUCAACGUGGAAGGGCCCUUCUCAGGAGCUGUGAGUCUAUUGCUGUGAGUAUGAUGUGAUAACACAGCCUCAGACUGCAGCAAGACAAAUCCUGGUGGCCUGAGAGAAGCAAUCUUCACAGGGAGAGCAGUCAAGACUGGAAUAGACGUCCACAUAUGCAGGGGCACCUAAGAUGAAAACUCUCUUCCACCUCUCUGUCAUGUUUAUGGACUGCUGCAUGGAUAACUGACUGCUUCUGCUUGGCGAGGGUGAUGCUAACAUAAAGCCUUUUGCGGUAUUACACUGCGCCACAAGGUGGCACUGGAAGAUUGCUAUAAUCCAGCGUAAUUAACACCAUCACCCCGCAGUCUCUGACAGAGAAAGCACGAAUUUUUGUAUUAAACGAUGUAAACCGAGGGAACUGGCAAUUUUUUCUUUCUUCUGAUUUUUGGAUUCACUGAAAUUUUUUUUAGUGAAGUUUUUUCAAGAGUGAAAGGGAAAUGUGUCGGUGUGCAGUGUAGCUAUUGCAAAAGCACAACAGACUAACUAGACAAACUGACAUCCCUUUGUUUUUCAACAUGUAUUCGUUAAUACUGGCGUUCCUAACAGCUGUGUCUGUUUUUGUAGCGAAUUGUUCAUACCUCAGCAGCAACUGCAAUGCAAAAGUGGGAUUUUAAUUUCCUCUGUAAUUUCUUUGGUAAGUUGUCUGAAGCUUUCUCUUCCCUUACAAAGCUGAAAAUCUAUUUCAGGUUUUCCUUAAAGGUGAAAAUUCUCCCAAAGUUUGUCUGCUUCUAAUAGAUUUCACAGUAGUCUAAUCCAAAAUAUCUCACUUGGUUUUAAUACCAGAUGUAGGCUUGGGUAAACAAAACCAGUCAAUUACCGUAUUGCUAUUACAGGUGAAAUAUGACACGUUUUUGCAUGGCUUUGCAAAGUAUAUAGCUCCUUCCCAUAUUGUCACAUUUCUUUCUGAUCAAAGCUGUUUUGUACUUUAAUGAAGUAACAAGAUGUUGCUCACUUGGGUGGGCCAUUGUCUGACUGAAGACUGUCUUUUACACCUAUGACUAAAAGAAUGCCCUCAAGCUAACAAAGAAAAUAAAACAUGUUGGUACCUUUCUAGUCCUAAGUACUACAGCUAAAAUGUACAAUCUUGAUCAUGAAAUGUGAACAGCCUUCAAUAGUUUAAAAAAUAUUCCUUUCUGGUCUUAAGACCUGACCACAUGAAAUAAUUUACUUGAUCGGGGACUUGGAAAAAAUUUGUCUUUAAAAAUUCUUGUUGCUGCAAGACAUAUCCAAAGGAGACUUCUCACAAAAGCUCAACUCCACCUCGUUCAAAGGAAGUCUCAAUACUUUGAUUUAUCUGAUGAAGAACAGAGUGGUCAUCCAAAUUUACAGGUCUAAAACACAAAAGACAAAGUUUUUAUGAAUAGUUUCCUGAUAGCUCAUUUUGUCUUAUAGGUAAAAUGACAUUAAGUUAUUCAUUAUGAAAGGUAAAAAAUCCCCCUCAGGUUUUGCUACUCAGUGAUCUAGAGGCAAAAUCAGUGUGGUUGGUAAUCUACAAAACCACCAUGAAGCAAAAGCAAUGUGAAAGGGUUCAGAGCUCUACAAAACACACUGAACACUCACUCAGAAACUGGUUUCUUUCUAGCUACAGCCAGUGGCAGCUGUAUUUGACAUGAAGGGUCCUGUGUCUGAGCUCAGGCUCUUCUAUCUGAGAUCAUUAAUCCUUUUAUCAGGUGCUUUCUUAAAAGAGAAUAAGGUUCCUUUUGGACACAGCCAUUCCAGUAAUUUACCACCUGUACUUCCCUUCCUGAGGUCAACAGAGCUUUUUACUGCAGCGUGUAAAAGCUGUAGCCCCAGCCUGGCUCUGUGAGCAGGUGAGUGUAGAGCAGCAGACCCAGCACUCGCUGCCUGUCAGCCUGGCACCAGUGUGCCUGCCACAAACCCCAAGAGGUAGAAGAGUGGGUGGAAAGAGCUGCCCCCAGAGCCUUCAGUGUGACGGCUCCAGCAGUAAGAAGAACCCGACUGGGCGUGCAGCCUGAUGUCCUGCCCUGCCUGGCUGCAGCUGCAGCCACUCCAUAGAGUGACAAGUAAAUUCUGGCUUCAGGACAGCACUGCUGUUGGGUGUAUGAAGUCAA